This 1372-nucleotide ribosomal RNA is filed under the name uncultured bacterium. Its description in RNAcentral is "bacterial SSU rRNA". It matches the Rfam family "Bacterial small subunit ribosomal RNA", at positions 28 to 1381 of the family's 1533-position model. The record is from RNAcentral.
GAUGAACGCUGGCGGCGUGCCUAAUACAUGCAAGUCGAGCGAACGGACGAGAAGCUUGCUUUUCUGAUGUUAGCGGCGGACGGGUGAGUAACACGUGGAUAACCUACCUAUAAGACUGGGAUAACUUCGGGAAACCGGAGCUAAUACCGGAUAAUAUUUUGAACCGCAUGGUUCAAAAGUGAAAGACGGUCUUGCUGUCACUUAUAGAUGGAUCCGCGCUGCAUUAGCUAGUUGGUAAGGUAACGGCUUACCAAGGCAACGAUGCAUAGCCGACCUGAGAGGGUGAUCGGCCACACUGGAACUGAGACACGGUCCAGACUCCUACGGGAGGCAGCAGUAGGGAAUCUUCCGCAAUGGGCGAAAGCCUGACGGAGCAACGCCGCGUGAGUGAUGAAGGUCUUCGGAUCGUAAAACUCUGUUAUUAGGGAAGAACAUAUGUGUAAGUAACUGUGCACAUCUUGACGGUACCUAAUCAGAAAGCCACGGCUAACUACGUGCCAGCAGCCGCGGUAAUACGUAGGUGGCAAGCGUUAUCCGGAAUUAUUGGGCGUAAAGCGCGCGUAGGCGGUUUUUUAAGUCUGAUGUGAAAGCCCACGGCUCAACCGUGGAGGGUCAUUGGAAACUGGAAAACUUGAGUGCAGAAGAGGAAAGUGGAAUUCCAUGUGUAGCGGUGAAAUGCGCAGAGAUGUGGAGGAACACCAGUGGCGAAGGCGACUUUCUGGUCUGUAACUGACGCUGAUGUGCGAAAGCGUGGGGAUCAAACAGGAUUAGAUACCCUGGUAGUCCACGCCGUAAACGAUGAGUGCUAAGUGUUAGGGGGUUUCCGCCCCUUAGUGCUGCAGCUAACGCAUUAAGCACUCCGCCUGGGGAGUACGACCGCAAGGUUGAAACUCAAAGGAAUUGACGGGGGCCCGCACAAGCGGUGGAGCAUGUGGUUUAAUUCGAAGCAACGCGAAGAACCUUACCAAAUCUUGACAUCCUUUGACAACUCUAGAGAUAGAGCCUUCCCCUUCGGGGGACAAAGUGACAGGUGGUGCAUGGUUGUCGUCAGCUCGUGUCGUGAGAUGUUGGGUUAAGUCCCGCAACGAGCGCAACCCUUAAGCUUAGUUGCCAUCAUUAAGUUGGGCACUCUAAGUUGACUGCCGGUGACGAACCGGAGGAAGGUGGGGAUGACGUCAAAUCAUCAUGCCCCUUAUGAUUUGGGCUACACACGUGCUACAAUGGACAAUACAAAGGGCAGCGAAACCGCGAGGUCAAGCAAAUCCCAUAAAGUUGUUCUCAGUUCGGAUUGUAGUCUGCAACUCGACUACAUGAAGCUGGAAUCGCUAGUAAUCGUAGAUCAGCAUGCUACGGUGAAUACGUUCCCGGGUCU